AUGUCUCUUUGGAAUAGUAUAAGGAGUCUGGCCUGCCCGGUGACAUGGUUUAACGGCUGCAGUAUCCUGACUGUGCAAAGGUAGCAUAAUAAUUUGCCUUUUAAUUGGAGGAUAGAAUCAACGGCUUGACGAGAGCAAGACUGUCUUUUUUGUUUUUAUUAAAAUUUAUCUUUUAAGUUAAAAGGCUUAGAUGUGACUAAAAGACGAUAAGACCCUAUUGAGCUUUAAAAAAGCAAAAUAAUUAUUCAUUAUUAACUAAAUUGAAAAUGAUUUUGGAAAAUUUUGGUUGGGGCGACUGCGGAGUAUAAAAAACCUCCGGAUUAGGAAAUUAAUUUCUAUUUUUGAUCCAUAAUUUGUGAUAAGUGGAAUUAGUUACCAUAGGGAUAACAGCGCACUACUUUUAAGAAGACCAUAUUUUUAAAAGAGAUUGCGACCUCGAUGUUGGAUUAAAGUAUACUAAAAGGCGCAGAAGCUUUUUGAGUUAGUCUGUUCGACUAUUAAAUCUUU
RNAcentral lists this ribosomal RNA (507 nucleotides) under Cyclophorus fulguratus. Its description in RNAcentral is "partial 16S ribosomal RNA". It matches the Rfam family "Bacterial large subunit ribosomal RNA", at positions 1815 to 2597 of the family's 2925-position model. The record is from RNAcentral. Lineage: Eukaryota; Metazoa; Mollusca; Gastropoda; Architaenioglossa; Cyclophoridae.